RNAcentral lists this ribosomal RNA (472 nucleotides) under Streptococcus anginosus. RNAcentral describes it as "bacterial SSU rRNA". It matches the Rfam family "Bacterial small subunit ribosomal RNA", at positions 28 to 474 of the family's 1533-position model. Lineage: Bacteria; Bacillati; Bacillota; Bacilli; Lactobacillales; Streptococcaceae. The record is from RNAcentral.
GACGAACGCUGGCGGCGUGCCUAAUACAUGCAAGUAGGACGCACAGUCUAUACCGUAGCUUGCUACACCAUAGGCUGUGAGUUGCGAACGGGUGAGUAACGCGUAGGUAACCUGCCUAUUAGAGGGGGAUAACUAUUGGAAACGAUAGCUAAUACCGCAUAACAGUAUGUAACACAUGUUAGAUGCUUGAAAGAUGCAAUUGCAUCGCUAGUAGAUGGACCUGCGUUGUAUUAACUAGUAGGUAGGGUAAUGGCCUACCUAGGCGACGAUACAUAGCCGACCUGAGAGGGUGAUCGGCCACACUGGGACUGAGACACGGCCCAGACUCCUACGGGAGGCAGCAGUAGGGAAUCUUCGGCAAUGGGGGGAACCCUGACCGAGCAACGCCGCGUGAGUGAAGAAGGUUUUCGGAUCGUAAAGCUCUGUUGUUAAGGAAGAACGAGUGUGAGAAUGGAAAGUUCAUACUGUGACG